UUGAACGCUGGCGGAAUGCUUUACACAUGCAAGUCGAGCGGCAGCGCGGGGGCAACCCUGGCGGCGAGCGGCGAACGGGUGAGUAAUACAUUGGAACGUACCCAGUUGUGGGGGAUAGCCCGGCGAAAGCCGGAUUAAUACCGCAUAAGUCCUGAGGGAGAAAGCGGGGGACCGUAAGGCCUCGCGCGAUUGGAGCGGCCGAUGUUCGAUUAGCUAGUUGGUGGGGUAAAGGCCUACCAAGGCGACGAUCGAUAGCUGGUCUGAGAGGACGACCAGCCACACUGGAACUGAGACACGGUCCAGACUCCUACGGGAGGCAGCAGUGGGGAAUUUUGGACAAUGGGUGCAACCCUGAUCCAGCCAUUCCGCGUGAGUGAAGAAGGCCUUCGGGUUGUAAAACUCUUUCGGCAGGAACGAAACGGUGAGCUCUAACAUAGCUUGCUAAUGACGGUACCUGAAGAAGAAGCACCGGCUAACUACGU
This 482-nucleotide ribosomal RNA is filed under the name uncultured bacterium. RNAcentral describes it as "bacterial SSU rRNA". It matches the Rfam family "Bacterial small subunit ribosomal RNA", at positions 29 to 506 of the family's 1533-position model. The record is from RNAcentral.